AUGAACCUGAGCUUGGUGAGAUACAUGAUAUCAUAACUGUGCGUGAGUCACCAACAAAUGAAUCUCUGAGAACUUCAGUCAGUUUACUUCCUCUAAAAGGUAUGUGACCCUGAUCAUUGUCUAGAGCUCUAAUACAUUCUUUCAAAGCUAGUAAGCUUUUAUUAAUUUCUGCACCUUCCAUUCUGCAAAAAAUUAAAAUAGAGCAAACUAUUCAUUGAAUUCCACAGGUUUUGUAUAAGUUGGUAAUCAAAUAAUAUUCCAAAGUACUAGCACAUUCUGGGAUGGAAAAUUUCUAAGGGGGACCACAGGACUCCAUGUAAUGCAUGGAGCUAUUCGUUUGAAGGACAGUAAAUAUGAAACUGCUUAAGUUUUCAGAGAAGGGAAUGAUUAAUGCCUACUCAGCAAUACCUUGUCUGUUUGUCAUUGUCAGUAGUAUCUGCCCCUCGCUCACUCCCAGCAAGAUCUAUGAAAGACAGUUUUCCUACAAGUCG
RNAcentral lists this long non-coding RNA (491 nucleotides) under Citrus maxima (pomelo). Its description in RNAcentral is "long non-coding RNA (CMAX_LNC003894)". Lineage: Eukaryota; Viridiplantae; Streptophyta; Magnoliopsida; Sapindales; Rutaceae. The record is from RNAcentral.